GAGCACGUAGGUGGGUUUGUAAGUCAGAUGUGAAAGCCUCCUGUUCAACGGGAGAAUUGCAUCUGAAACUACUGAUCUUGAGUGUAGGAGGGGAGAAUGGAACUUCUGGUGGAGCGGUGAAAUGCGUAGAUAUCAGAAGGAACGCCGGCGGCGAAAGCGAUUCUCUGGCCUAUUACUGACACUCAGUGUGCGAAAGCUAGGGGAGCAAACGGGAUUAGAUACCCCGGUAGUCCUAGCCGUAAACGAUGGGCACUAAGUAGAGGGGU
Molecule: ribosomal RNA, 266 nt
Filed under: uncultured Planctomycetota bacterium
Lineage: Bacteria; Pseudomonadati; Planctomycetota
Description: uncultured planctomycete partial 16S ribosomal RNA
Rfam family: Bacterial small subunit ribosomal RNA
Source: RNAcentral